RNAcentral lists this ribosomal RNA (253 nucleotides) under uncultured bacterium. Its description in RNAcentral is "partial 16S ribosomal RNA". It matches the Rfam family "Bacterial small subunit ribosomal RNA", at positions 524 to 776 of the family's 1533-position model. The record is from RNAcentral.
UACGGGGGGGGCAAGCGUUGUUCGGAAUUACUGGGCGUAAAGGGCUCGUAGGUGGUCAACUAAGUCAUACGUGAAAUCCCUCGGCUUAACCGGGGAACUGCGCCUGAUACUGGUUGACUUGAGUUUGGGAGAGGGACGCGGAAUUCCAGGUGUAGCGGUGAAAUGCGUAGAUAUCUGGAGGAACACCAGCGGCGAAGGCGGCAUCCUGGCCCUGACCUGACGCUGAGGCGCGAUAGCGUGGGGAGCAAACGGG